GACGAACGCUGGCGGCGUGCCUAACGCAUGCAAGUCGAGCGAGGGCUCUUCUUCCGCAAGGGAGGGGGUACCUAGCGGCGAACGGGUGAGUAACACGUGGGCAACCUUUCCCAUCGUGGGGGAGUAACACCGGGAAACCGGUGCUAAUACCGCAUGAGGUCACUGGGGGCAUCCCUGGUGAAGAAAGCAGGAAUGCGCGAUGGGGUGGGCCCGCGGCCUAUCAGCUAGUCGGUGGGGUGAUGGCCUACCGAGGCAUUGACGGGUAGCUGGUCUGAGAGGACGGCCAGCCACAC
RNAcentral lists this ribosomal RNA (293 nucleotides) under uncultured bacterium. RNAcentral describes it as "partial 16S ribosomal RNA". It matches the Rfam family "Bacterial small subunit ribosomal RNA", at positions 28 to 313 of the family's 1533-position model. The record is from RNAcentral.